This 869-nucleotide ribosomal RNA is filed under the name Rhynchosporium graminicola. Its description in RNAcentral is "partial large subunit ribosomal RNA". It matches the Rfam family "Eukaryotic large subunit ribosomal RNA", at positions 55 to 942 of the family's 3401-position model. Lineage: Eukaryota; Fungi; Ascomycota; Leotiomycetes; Helotiales; Ploettnerulaceae. The record is from RNAcentral.
GGAAAAGAAACCAACAGGGAUUACCUCAGUAACGGCGAGUGAAGCGGUAACAGCUCAAAUUUGAAAGCUAGCUCUUCGAGGGUUCGCAUUGUAAUUUGUAGAAGAUGCUUCGGGUGUGGCCCCGGUCUAAGUUCCUUGGAACAGGACGUCAUAGAGGGUGAGAAUCCCGUAUGUGACUGGGUGCUUUCGCUCAUGUGAAGCUCUUUCGACGAGUCGAGUUGUUUGGGAAUGCAGCUCUAAAUGGGUGGUACAUUUCAUCUAAAGCUAAAUAUUGGCCAGAGACCGAUAGCGCACAAGUAGAGUGAUCGAAAGAUGAAAAGCACUUUGGAAAGAGAGUUAAACAGUACGUGAAAUUGUUGAAAGGGAAGCGCUUGCAACCAGACUUGCGCGCUGAUGAUCAUCCGGGCUUCUGCCCGGUGCACUCGUCUGCGCUCAGGCCAGCAUCGGUUUCGGUGGUGGGAUAAAGGCCUUGGGAAUGUAGCUCCUCUCGGGGAGUGUUAUAGCCCUCGGUGCAAUGCCGCCUACCGGGACCGAGGACCGCGCUUCGGCUAGGAUGCUGGCGUAAUGGUUGUAAGCGACCCGUCUUGAAACACGGACCAAGGAGUCUAACAUCUAUGCGAGUGUUUGGGUGUCAAACCCAUACGCGUAAUGAAAGUGAACGGAGGUGAGAACCCUUAAGGGUGCAUCAUCGACCGGUCCUGAUGUCUUCGGAUGGAUCUGAGUAAGAGCAUAGCUGUUGGGACCCGAAAGAUGGUGAACUAUGCGUGAAUAGGGUGAAGCCAGAGGAAACUCUGGUGGAGGCUCGCAGCGGUUCUGACGUGCAAAUCGAUCGUCAAAUUUGCGUAUAGGGGCGAAGACUAAUCGAACCA